GGGGAAUAUUGGACAAUGGACCAAAAGUCUGAUCCAGCAAUUCUGUGUGCACGAUGACGUUUUUCGGAAUGUAAAGUGCUUUCAGUUGGGAAGAAAAAAAUGACGGUACCAACAGAAGAAGUGACGGCUAAAUACGUGCCAGCAGCCGCGGUAAUACGUAUGUCACAAGCGUUAUCCGGAUUUAUUGGGCGUAAAGCGCGUCUAGGUGGUUAUGUAAGUCUGAUGUGAAAAUGCAGGGCUCAACUCUGUAUUGCGUUGGAAACUGCAUGACUAGAGUACUGAAGAGGUAAGCGGAACUACAAGUGUAGAGGUGAAAUUCGUAGAUAUUUGUAGGAAUGCCGAUGGGGAAGCCAGCUUACUGGACAGAUACUGACGCUAAAGCGCGAAAGCGUGGGUAGCAAACAGGAUUAGAUACCCUGGUAGUCCACGCCGUAAACGAUGAUUACUAGGUGUUGGGGGUCGAACCUCAGCGCCCAAGCUAACGCGAUAAGUAAUCCGCCUGGGGAGUACGUACGCAAGUAUG
Molecule: ribosomal RNA, 523 nt
Filed under: uncultured bacterium
Lineage: Bacteria
Description: bacterial SSU rRNA
Rfam family: Bacterial small subunit ribosomal RNA
Source: RNAcentral